AGGUUAAGUUAUUAAGGGCGCAUGGUGAAUGCCUUGGUACUAGGAGCCGAUGAAGGACGGAACUAACACCGAUAUGCUUCGGGGAGCUGUACGUAAGCUUUGAUCCGGAGAUUUCCGAAUGAGGAAACUCGCUUACUUUGAUAGGUAAGCACUUGACUAGUGAAUACAUAGCUAGCAAGAGGCAGACGUGGGGAACUGAAACAUCUAAGUACCCACAGGAAUAUAAAGAAAUUUCGAUUCCCUAAGUAGCGGCGAGCGAACGGGGAAUAGCCCAAACCAUCCUGCUUGCAGGGUGGGGUUGUAGGACUGAACAUUUGAGUUACAAAAGUAUUUGAUAGUCGAAUUAGUUGGGAAGCUAAGCUAAAAAAGGUGAUAGCCCUGUAGACGAAAUUAAAUACCCUCAGUUCAGGAUCCUGAGUACGGCGACACACGUGAAACGUCGUCGGAAUCCGGGAGGACCAUCUCCCAAGGCUAAAUACUCCCUAGUGACCGAUAGUGAACCAGUACCGUGAGGGAAAGGUGAAAAGCACCCCGGAAGGGGAGUGAAAUAGUUCCUGAAACCAUGUGCCUACAAGCAGUUAGAGCCCGUUAAUGGGUGAUAGCGUGCCUUUUGUAGAAUGAACCGGCGAGUUAUAGUUGCAUGCAAGGUUAAGUCGAAAAAACGGAGCCGAAGCGAAAGCGAGUCUUAAUAGGGCGUCACAGUAUGUAGCCAUAGACCCGAAACCAGGUGAUCUAUCCAUGUCCAGGAUGAAAGUGCGGUAAUACGCACCGGAGGUCCGAACCCGUGUACGUUGAAAAGUGCUGGGAUGAGGUGUGGAUAGCGGUGAAAUUCCAAACGAACUUGGAGAUAGCUGGUUCUCUCCGAAAUAGCUUUAGGGCUAGCCUCGGAAUUAAGAAUCAUGGAGGUAGAGCACUGUUUGGACAAGGGGCCCAUCUAGGGUUACUAAGUUCAGAUAAACUCCGAAUACCAUUGAUUUAUGUCCGGGAGUCAGACAAUGAGUGAUAAGAUCCAUUGUCGAAAGGGGAACAGCCCAGACCGCCAGUUAAGGUCCCUAAAUGUAUACUAAGUGGAAAAGGAAGUGGAGUUGCUUAGACAACUAGGAUGUUGGCUCAGAAGCAGCCACCAUUUAAAGAGUGCGUAAUAGCUCACUAGUCGAGUGAUUCUGCGCCGAAAAUUUACCGGGGCUAAGUAUACUACCGAGACUGCGGACGCAACGUAAGUUGCGUGAUAGGAGAGCGUUCUAAGGGCGAUGAAGUUAGACCGUAAGGACUGAUGGAGCGCUUAGAAGUGAGAAUGCCGGUAUGAGUAGCGAAAGAUUAGUGAGAAUCUAAUCCACCGAAUGACUAAGGUUUCCUGGGGAAGGCUCGUCCACCCAGGGUUAGUCGGGUCCUAAGUCGAGGCCAAGAGGCGUAGACGAUGGAUAACAGGUUGAUAUUCCUGUACUAGUUAAUUAUGUUUGAGCGAUGGAGGGACGCAGAAGGCUAAGUUGUGCAUACUGUUGGAUAUGUAUGUUUAAAUCAUAAGUCAGGUGAAGAGUUAAAGGCUUAUCACCGAGUUGACAAGUGAUGAUGAGGACCGAAAUUAAAGUAGGGAAGCAACUGAUGUCACGCUGCCGAGAAAAGCUUCUAGUGAGUAAUUAACUACCCGUACCGCAAACCGACACAGGUAGUCGAGGAGAGAAUCCUAAGGUGAGCGAGUGAACUCUCGUUAAGGAAUUCGGCAAAAUGACCCCGUAACUUCGGGAGAAGGGGUGCUGACCGCAAGGUCAGCCGCAGUGAAGAGGCCCAGACGACUGUUUAUCAAAAACACAGGUUUCUGCAAAAUCGUAAGAUGACGUAUAGGGGCUGACGCCUGCCCGGUGCUGGAAGGUUAAGUGGAAGAGUUAGCUUCGGCGAAGCUUAGAAAUGAAGCCCCAGUAAACGGCGGCCGUAACUAUAACGGUCCUAAGGUAGCGAAAUUCCUUGUCGGGUAAGUUCCGACCCGCACGAAAGGCGUAACGAUCUGGGCACUGUCUCAACGAGAGACUCGGUGAAAUUGUGAUACCUGUGAAGAAGCAGGUUACCCGCGACAGGACGGAAAGACCCCAUGGAGCUUUACUGUAGCUUGAUAUUGGGUGUUUGCAUAGCUUGUACAGAAUAGGUAGGAGCCAUCGAUAUCGGAACGCUAGUUUCGAUGGAGGCAUUAGUGGGAUACUACCCUUGCUAUGUGAACACUCUAACCCUGAACACUUAUCGUGUUCGGAGACAGUGUCUGGUUGGCAGUUUGACUGGGGCGGUCGCCUCCCAAAUAGUAACGGAGGCGCCCAAAGGUUCCCUCAGAAUGGUUGGAAAUCAUUCGUAGAGUGUAAAGGCAGAAGGGAGCUUGACUGCGAGACAUACAGGUCGAGCAGGGACGAAAGUCGGGCUUAGUGAUCCGGUGGUACCAUAUGGAAGGGCCAUCGCUCAACGGAUAAAAGCUACCCUGGGGAUAACAGGCUUAUCUCCCCCAAGAGUUCACAUCGACGGGGAGGUUUGGCACCUCGAUGUCGGCUCAUCGCAUCCUGGGGCUGUAGUUGGUCCCAAGGGUUGGGCUGUUCGCCCAUUAAAGCGGUACGCGAGCUGGGUUCAGAACGUCGUGAGACAGUUCGGUCCCUAUCCGUCGCGGGCGCAGGAAAUUUGAGAGGAGCUGUCCCUAGUACGAGAGGACCGGGAUGGACAUACCGCUGGUGUACCAGUUGCGCCGCCAGGCGCACAGCUGGGUAGCUAUGUAUGGAUGGGAUAAACGCUGAAAGCAUCUAAGUGUGAAGCCCACCUCGAGAUAAGAUUUCCCAUUCCUUUAUGGAAGUAAGACCCCUCAAAGAUGAUGAGGUAGAUAGGUUAGAAGUGGAAGCACAGCGAUGUGUGGAGCGGACUAAUACUAAUCGGUCGAGGACUUAACCAAG
Molecule: ribosomal RNA, 2921 nt
Filed under: Lactobacillus sp. S2-2
Lineage: Bacteria; Bacillati; Bacillota; Bacilli; Lactobacillales; Lactobacillaceae
Description: 23S ribosomal RNA
Rfam family: Bacterial large subunit ribosomal RNA
Source: RNAcentral